Molecule: long non-coding RNA, 1310 nt
Filed under: Piliocolobus tephrosceles (Ugandan red Colobus)
Lineage: Eukaryota; Metazoa; Chordata; Mammalia; Primates; Cercopithecidae
Description: lncRNA (ENSPTEG00000007181.1)
Source: RNAcentral
UACAAAAAUGGUUUCAAAAUCUAUGAACGGUUCGGGGAAAAGGUUCAAAAAACAUGGUCAUAUAAAAAAGCAAAAGGGUUUUAAAAAGGAAAAAAGCAAGGACCAAGCAAAUUAUAAAAAAGUAAAUGAACAGGUGGACAACAAUGUUGACAAACAAAAGGACAACAAAGUGGACAAUGAAAUGAACAACAAAAGGACCCAAAAAAUGACCCAAAAAUUGAACUUUACCGAUGAAGACGGAGCAACAAUAAAAAAAUCAAAUAUAUUAAUAAUUGUUAAAAAAAAAAUUAACUCAGAGCUAAAUAUUUUUUGUAAUAAUUUGAAAAAUUUGUUUGCUCCUUAUAGUAUACCUUUUCAAGUAGUAAAAUCAAAUAAGGCUGCUGAAUUAAGCAAAACAGCAAAAACAUUAGGUUUUAAGUUCACUAUUUUUUUAUUUAUACAUAAAUAUAACUUUUACCAUUGUAUUAAAGAUAAUUUUACAAACUUAUCAUUAACAUUCUUAAUUAAAAGUUAUACACUUGCAUCUGUAAUCAAAUCUGCUUAUUCAUUUAAUAAAGAAAUCGAUUUUAAUAAAUCAAUACCAUUACUUAUUUUAAUGAACUUUAAUAACACUAAACAUUUAGAAAUGAAGUAUUAUUUAACUAUUGUUCAAAAUACACUAAAAAGUGUAUAUCCCAGUGUCAAUCUAAAACGUAAUUUUAUGAAUAAUUAUAAUAGAAUCAUACUAUAUUGUUAUAAUGACGAUGAUCAAACUAUCGAUUUUCGUCAAUAUACAACAUACACUAAAGACAAAGAUAUUAAUAAAUUAAUAGAAGUAGCAUAUAAUAAAAAACAAUCCAAUGAAUGUGAUGACAUAUUUAAAUAUAUAGCAUCUGAACUUAAUAUGAAUAAGUCAAAAGAUGAUAAUAAAACAAACCUGAUGGAAAUAGGACCACGUAUAAGUUACAAAAUUUUUGAAAUUGCUGAUGAAGGAAUAGUUGUAUAUUCCAUGACAGGUAAAAAGCAGAGUAUCUGUCUGUAAAACAUACAGAUAUAUCGUUUUUUUACACACACGCAUAUAUCACUCUCAUAGUAAUAAUAAUUUAAGUUAAAAAAAAAAAAAAAAAAAAAAAAUUGCAUAAUUCUUGAAUUUAUACCAAGACAUAUAUAUAAAGUAAAUUAUUAUAAAUUUUUUGUACUUUUAAUAAUUUAAAUAACAGUAUCUUUUUCGUAUAUAAUAUUGUAUAUUAAAAAAAAAAAAAAAAUGUUAUUAAUGAAUUGAUUAGUCAUUUGGCUAGUUGUUUAGUAAUUUUAUGAGUCGGUAAGCCAUU